GCGCCUGUAGCUCAGUUGGACAGAGCGGCUGACUUCGGAUCAGUAGGUCGGGGGUUCGAAUCCUCCCAGGCGUA
This 74-nucleotide transfer RNA is filed under the name Candidatus Zixiibacteriota bacterium. RNAcentral's name for it is "tRNA-Arg". It matches the Rfam family "tRNA". From Rfam's summary of the family: Transfer RNA (tRNA) molecules are approximately 80 nucleotides in length. Lineage: Bacteria; Pseudomonadati; Candidatus Zixiibacteriota. The record is from RNAcentral.